GACGAACGCUGGCGGCAUGCCUAAUACAUGCAAGUCGAGCGAACAGAUGGAGUGCUUGCACUUCUGACGUUAGCGGCGAACGGGUGAGUAACACGUAAGGAAUCUACCUAUAAGCGGGGGAUAACAUUCGGAAACGGGUGCUAAUACCGCAUAAUAUCUUCUUCCGCAUGGAAGAAGAUUGAAAGACGGCUCUGCUGUCACUUAUAGAUGACCUUGCGGUGCAUUAGUUGGUUGGUGGGGUAACGGCCUACCAAGACGAUGAUGCAUAGCCGACCUGAGAGGGUGAUCGGACACAUUGGGACGAAGACACGGCCAAACUCCUACGGGAGGCAGCAGUAGGGAAUCUUCCGCAAUGGGCGAAAGCCUGACGGAGCAAUGCCGCGUGAGUGAAGGAGGCCUUCGGGUCGUAAAACUCUGUUAUAAGAGAAGAACAAAUUGUAGAGUAACUGCUACAGUCUUGACGGUAUCUUAUCAGAAAGCCACGGCUAACUACGUGCCAGCCGCCGCAGUAA
This 512-nucleotide ribosomal RNA is filed under the name uncultured bacterium. Its description in RNAcentral is "partial 16S ribosomal RNA". It matches the Rfam family "Bacterial small subunit ribosomal RNA", at positions 28 to 523 of the family's 1533-position model. The record is from RNAcentral.